GGAGAAGUCGCCUAGUCCGGUCGAGGGCGCACGAUUGGAAAUCGUGUAGGGGUCAAAAGCCUCUCGAGGGUUCGAAUCCCUCCUUCUCCGCCA
Molecule: transfer RNA, 93 nt
Filed under: Oscillospiraceae bacterium
Lineage: Bacteria; Bacillati; Bacillota; Clostridia; Eubacteriales; Oscillospiraceae
Description: tRNA-Ser
Rfam family: tRNA
About the family: Transfer RNA (tRNA) molecules are approximately 80 nucleotides in length.
Source: RNAcentral